UGGACCUUUAUUCUUAUUCAGUUUUCUUCUCAAGGUGAAGAUAACUCUUUAUAAAUGUCCUAGAGAAAUAUAGUAGCUUUCUGUUCACCCUUUGCAAGUGAAAAGGGUGGAUUGUUCCACUACUGACACUU
This 131-nucleotide small nucleolar RNA is filed under the name Echinops telfairi (small Madagascar hedgehog). RNAcentral describes it as "Small Cajal body specific RNA 24 (ENSETEG00000026050.1)". It matches the Rfam family "Small Cajal body specific RNA 24". Rfam says of the family: scaRNAs are a specific class of small nuclear RNAs which localise to the Cajal bodies and guide the modification of RNA polymerase II transcribed spliceosomal RNAs U1, U2, U4, U5 and U12. ACA12 belongs to the H/ACA box class of guide RNAs as it has the predicted hairpin-hinge-hairpin-tail structure,the conserved H/ACA-box motifs and is found associated with GAR1. The record is from RNAcentral. Lineage: Eukaryota; Metazoa; Chordata; Mammalia; Afrosoricida; Tenrecidae.